GAAAUGCGAUAAGUAAUGUGAAUUGCAGAAUUCCGUGAAUCAUCGAAUCUUUGAACGCACAUUGCGCCCUCUGGCAUUCCGGGGGGCAUGCCUGUUUGAGUAUCAUGAAAUCUUCAAAGUAAAUCUUUUGUUAACUCAAUUGGUUUCUACUUUGGUAUUGGAGGUCUUUGCAGCUUCACACCUGCUCCUCUUUGUUCAUUAGCUGGAUCUCAGUGUUAUGCUUGGUUCCACUCGGCGUGAUAAGUUAUCUAUCGCUGAGGACACUGUAAAAGGUGGCCAAGGUAAAUGCAGAUGAACCGCUUCUAAUAGUCCAUUGACUUGGACAAUACUUUUAUGAUCUGAUCUCAAAUCAGGUAGGACUACCCGCUGAACUUAAGC
This 378-nucleotide unclassified non-coding RNA is filed under the name plant metagenome. RNAcentral's name for it is "partial contains 5.8S ribosomal RNA, internal transcribed spacer 2, and large subunit ribosomal RNA". The stretch from base 1 to 105 matches the Rfam family "5.8S ribosomal RNA", at positions 50 to 154 of the family's 154-position model. The record is from RNAcentral.